RNAcentral lists this ribosomal RNA (274 nucleotides) under uncultured bacterium. RNAcentral's name for it is "partial 16S ribosomal RNA". It matches the Rfam family "Bacterial small subunit ribosomal RNA", at positions 523 to 796 of the family's 1533-position model. The record is from RNAcentral.
AUACGGAGGGGGUUAGCGUCGUUCGGAAUUACUGGGCGUAAAGCGCACGUAGGCGGACUGGACAGUUGGGGGUGAAAUCCCGGGGCUCAACCCCGGAACUGCCUCCAAAACUUCCAAUCUAGAGAUCGAGAGAGGUGAGUGGAAUUCCAAGUGUAGAGGUGAAAUUCGUAGAUAUUUGGAGGAACACCAGUGGCGAAGGCGGCUCACUGGCUCGAUACUGACGCUGAGGUGCGAAAGCGUGGGGAGCAAACAGGAUUAGAAACCCUAGUAGUCC